AUGAGGCGGGCCCGCUGCGCACCCCCGCGCUCUCCGCCCGCCCAGUGCGGCUCCGCUGCCCCGGCGGCGGGAGAGGCCUGGCUGCCGGGCCCGGGCGCUCCCCCUCGGUCGCUCUGCCGCUCAGGAAGCCACCGGCCGCGGGAAGUUUCCUCCAACCUGCGGGGCCCAAAACAAACCGGGUCAGACGCCUCCCUCGGCGCGUCCCCCCGCGUCUCCUCGGCCCCGCGGGCGGCACGGGACGCGCCCCGCUCCCCCCUUACCUUGCGCGCAGCCGCCGCCAUAGCGCCUGGAGCCCUUCCCGGUGUGGCCGCGGCGGCGGGGCCGGGGCGGGGCGGGGCCGGGGGCGGGCAGCGUGCGCACCGGCUGCCCUCGCGCAUGCGCCUUGCGCCCGGUGAGGCUGCGGCACGGGCGGGUCACGCCCCGCUCCGGGCGCGCGGGAGGGGGCGGCGGGCUAGGUCGGGAGGGGAGAGGGGAGAGGGCACAGGGGUGAGGGGACCGGGGACAGGGGACAGGGUCGGUGUUCGCCCGGAGGAGCACGGCUGGGACGUGCUAGCACGGGGCAGGUCGCUGAGUGGAUGUGAGCAGUCUGCACAGUCACUCCCUGCUGAAGCUGAUGGAGCCUGGCCAGCCAGCAGCCAACACAGCAUUUGCAGCUACCUGAUAGAAACCAUCCUGCUGAGAGAUGGCAGCUGUAGGAGCAAGAUAGAGCUUGGGAGAAAGCAAGGCAGGCUCAAACACUGAGCAGUUGUGGAUCUUUAGAGCCCAGCUGUCCCACACAGGCCUUCUCUCAUUUUUAUUCCAACAACUGACAUCAAGGGCAUGCUUUUUCUAGCAGUGUCUCUUGUCCAAACCCUUCCAGGUGGCUGUAUUUCUGCAAAACAAAGCAGAGUUCCUGGAGAUUUGUAAGGGCAUAUUCCAUAUGCAGAGCCCUGGUGUUUUAUGAGGCUUUAUUGCAAGUUGUAGCAAAAUGCUCUCAGUUAGGUGGUCCCCAGCUCUGAAGUCUGUUUUUUGUCCUGCAUUGAUGCUUCUUGAAAAGGAAACUCAGAUGUUUCUAAAUGUUACAAUACAUGCAGAAAUAUUUUUCUUUCUCAACUGAAGGGGAUAGUCACAUUUUGUCAAAACUAAAAUGUAUUUAAAAUGGCUAAGUAAAAAUCUUGCUGAAUAACUGUUUAUUUGGAAUAUCUCCAGUAGGUAAGAAUUCUUUCUUCUGUACUUUUUUAUCAGGGAUCACGUGUCUAUUGUCUUAACUUUUUCCUGCCAAAAGACUAUUUGUUAAGCAUCCAGUGGAAUUAAUUUACUGUUUAAUAAAAUGUAUCACUCUUAGUAAGUACUUUAUUCU
RNAcentral lists this long non-coding RNA (1339 nucleotides) under Zonotrichia albicollis (white-throated sparrow). Its description in RNAcentral is "lncRNA (ENSZALG00000016961.1)". Lineage: Eukaryota; Metazoa; Chordata; Aves; Passeriformes; Passerellidae. The record is from RNAcentral.